AGUGAACGCUGGCGGUAGGCCUAACACAUGCAAGUCGAACGGCAGCACAGUAAGAGCUUGCUCUUACGGGUGGCGAGUGGCGGACGGGUGAGGAAUACAUCGGAAUCUACUUUUUCGUGGGGGAUAACGUAGGGAAACUUACGCUAAUACCGCAUACGACCUACGGGUGAAAGCAGGGGAUCUUCGGACCUUGCGCGAUUGAAUGAGCCGAUGUCGGAUUAGCUAGUUGGCGGGGUAAAGGCCCACCAAGGCGACGAUCCGCAGCUGGUCGGAGAGGAUGAUCAGCCACCCUGGAACGGAGACACGGUCCAGAGUCCUACGGGAGGCAGCAGUGGGGAAUAUUGGACAAUGGGCGCAAGCCUGAUCCAGCCAUACCGCGUGGGUGAAGAAGGCCUUCGGGUUGUAAAGCCCUUUUGUUGGGAAAGAAAAGCAGCAGGUUAAUACCCCGCUGUUCUGACGGUAACCAAAGAAUAAGCACCGGCUAACUUCGUG
RNAcentral lists this ribosomal RNA (492 nucleotides) under uncultured bacterium. RNAcentral's name for it is "partial 16S ribosomal RNA". It matches the Rfam family "Bacterial small subunit ribosomal RNA", at positions 29 to 507 of the family's 1533-position model. The record is from RNAcentral.